AAUAAUAUAUUAUAUUAUUAUAUUCAAACCUAAUAUAAAUAUCAUAGGUAAUUUUCGGUUUUAGUGUUAAUGUAUGAAAUUCAUAUUCUUUCAUUUUCUCUUUAGAUCUGUUUGUUUUAUCUAUUUAUAAGUAAAAUUUAUAAAUUAUUAUUUUUAUUUAGGUUAAAUAGUUAAAUAUCUUAAAUAGAUAUACUAUUAAUAUAUUUAUUUAAACUAAUUAAAGAAACACGUUGAGUUUUUGGUUCGGUUCGGUUUAAAACCAAACUAUACUAAACCAUUUGGGUUGAUUGAAUCUUUAAUCAAAUAGUUUAGACAUAUACUUUGGUUUGGGUUCGGUUGGGUUGCUUCGGUUCUGCUUUUCUUCCCACCCCUACACUAUAUCAUCGGAGUUGAUUGGCAAAGUGGCCCAAUUCCUAGUAUACUAGUUUUAGACCAUUUUUUACAUCCUAUCUUUAUUCAACUCAAAGCCCCCAUGAAUGGAAACUA
RNAcentral lists this long non-coding RNA (486 nucleotides) under Brassica napus (rape). RNAcentral describes it as "long non-coding RNA (BNAP_LNC006355)". Lineage: Eukaryota; Viridiplantae; Streptophyta; Magnoliopsida; Brassicales; Brassicaceae. The record is from RNAcentral.